Coregonus clupeaformis (lake whitefish) is the source of this 394-nucleotide long non-coding RNA. RefSeq lists it as uncharacterized. Lineage: Eukaryota; Metazoa; Chordata; Actinopteri; Salmoniformes; Salmonidae. The transcript is spliced from 2 exons. The record is from RefSeq and is a predicted model, not a curated record.
CCACCCGACCUUGUUCGCAUUGCCAGUGUCCAGUCUACCACUGGCCGCAGAGUUGAGCUUACCAUCUGUCCAAUGGUUUGGAGUAGGUCUCAGACUCCAGAAUGGGAAAAUGUUUAACAAGAAAGAAACAGAUGAAGACACAGAAGGGGACUAUGAGACCCUAUGUUGUAUUUUAAAUAGUUAAUCUGUCAAUUUCUAUUCUGACUUGUAAUGUUAAAAAGGGGAGAAAAAUACAUCCCCUGUUUAUCUGAAUUAGCUAGGCUACUCACUAUACCAAUAAUGGGCUACAGAUUUGAGUCACUGCAAUUAAAAUUGUUUUGCCAAUGGAUCUUUCUAUUAAAUUACAUACUGUUAAAUGUUUGCAACUCAUUAAUAAAUGGCCAGAAGAUUUCCA